CGGGGCGUGGCGUAGCUUGGUAGCGCGCUUGAAUGGGGUUCAAGAGGUCGCAAGUUCAAAUCUUGUCGCCCCGA
RNAcentral lists this transfer RNA (74 nucleotides) under Clostridia bacterium. Its description in RNAcentral is "tRNA-Pro". It matches the Rfam family "tRNA". Rfam says of the family: Transfer RNA (tRNA) molecules are approximately 80 nucleotides in length. Their secondary structure includes four short double-helical elements and three loops (D, anti-codon, and T loops). Lineage: Bacteria; Bacillati; Bacillota; Clostridia. The record is from RNAcentral.